Molecule: ribosomal RNA, 492 nt
Filed under: uncultured bacterium
Lineage: Bacteria
Description: partial 16S ribosomal RNA
Rfam family: Bacterial small subunit ribosomal RNA
Source: RNAcentral
AGUGAACGCUGGCGGUAGGCCUAACACAUGCAAGUCGAACGGCAGCACAGUAAGAGCUUGCUCUUACGGGUGGCGAGUGGCGGACGGGUGAGGAAUACAUCGGAAUCUACUUUUUCGUGGGGGAUAACGUAGGGAAACUUACGCUAAUACCGCAUACGGCCUACGGGUGAAAGCAGGGGAUCUUCGGACCUUGCGCGAUUGAAUGAGCCGAUGUCGGAUUAGCUAGUUGGCGGGGUAAAGGCCCACCAAGGCGACGAUCCGUAGCUGGUCUGAGAGGAUGAUCAGACACACUGGAACUGAGACACGGUCCAGACUCCUACGGGAGGCAGCAGUGGGGAAUAUUGGACAAUGGGCGAAAGCCUGAUCCAGCCAUACCGCGUGGGUGAAGAAGGCCUUCGGGUUGUAAAGCCCUUUUGUUGGGAAAGAAAAGCAGCAGGUUAAUACCCCGCUGUUCUGACGGUACCCAAAGAAUAAGCACCGGCUAACUUCGUG